This 520-nucleotide ribosomal RNA is filed under the name uncultured Glomus. Its description in RNAcentral is "SSU rRNA". It matches the Rfam family "Eukaryotic small subunit ribosomal RNA", at positions 569 to 1092 of the family's 1831-position model. The record is from RNAcentral. Lineage: Eukaryota; Fungi; Glomeromycota; Glomeromycetes; Glomerales; Glomeraceae.
AGCAGCCGCGGUAAUUCCAGCUCCAAUAGCGUAUAUUAAAGUUGUUGCAGUUAAAAAGCUCGUAGUUGAAUUUCGGGAUCAAUAUGUUGGUCGUGCCUCGGUACGUACUAGCUUAUUGGUUUCUCCUUUCUGAAGAACCAUGAUGUCAUUUAUUUGGUGUCGUGGGGAAUCAGGACUGUUACUUUGAAAAAAUUAGAGUGUUUAAAGCAGGCUCACGCUUGAAUACAUUAGCAUGGAAUAAUGAAAUAGGACGUUUGAUUCUAUUUUGUUGGUUUCUAGGAUCGACGUAAUGAUUAAUAGGGAUAGUUGGGGGCAUUAGUAUUCAAUUGUCAGAGGUGAAAUUCUUGGAUUUAUUGAAGACUAACUACUGCGAAAGCAUUUGCCAAGGAUGUUUUCAUUAAUCAAGAACGAAAGUUAGGGGAUCGAAGACGAUCAGAUACCGUCGUAGUCUUAACCAUAAACUAUGCCGACUAGGGAUCGGAUGAUGUUAAUUUUUUAAUGACUCAUUCGGCGCCUUAAC